CUGCUACUCCCUCCGUUUGGAAUUACUUGUCUCGGAAAUGGAUGUAUGUACAACUAAAAUUUGUCUAAAUACAUCCACUUCUGCGACAAGUAAUUCCGAAUGGAGGGAGUACUAG
Molecule: non-coding RNA, 115 nt
Organism: Triticum aestivum (bread wheat)
Lineage: Eukaryota; Viridiplantae; Streptophyta; Magnoliopsida; Poales; Poaceae
Source: Rfam